Neopelma chrysocephalum (saffron-crested tyrant-manakin) is the source of this 1125-nucleotide long non-coding RNA. RefSeq lists it as uncharacterized. The record is from RefSeq and is a predicted model, not a curated record. The transcript has 9 exons. Lineage: Eukaryota; Metazoa; Chordata; Aves; Passeriformes; Pipridae.
GGGGUGGAAAAUAUCAAACCUACAAAACUACUCAAGACCUGAUCAUCAGUGUGAUUUUUGUCUGUCCUGGUCAUCAGUCUCUACACAUCAGUCAGCAGGAAAUGGCAAACAACAGAAGUCUAAUAAGUGCUCAGGAAAAAUGCCAUAUGGUAUGUGCAUCGUCACAAAAAAUACCAUGAGCUCUAAACUCUGCAAAUGUCUUCAUGCCACAGGGAUGCACAGCCUCCAUGAGCAAAAAAAAACCUGAACCAUCUGUCAUUAAUGAAGAAAGUAUCUCGGCCUGGUUCUUCAUAGUGGUGGCAAGCAAAAGAAAACCAAACCCUUCGUUGUUAACUGCAUGUAGAAAACUAUUGAGAACAGCUCUGGCAGAAUUUUAGUGUUUAAGAACUGCAAAGGACAGGUUAACUAUGAGAUUAUUGCACCACAAAAUCAAAUUGAAAAGCACCCAGUGUAAUUCCAGCAUAGACCACCCACCUUCCACUGCCAAGGAGUCUUUUGCUGGAGUCACUGAUUUUUCAGAUGAUUGCACGCUGAGGAUAACUUAUUUCUCCAGUGAGAUCCUGAUGCAACGUAUAAGGAGAAAAAAUGGGCAAUAAAUGGUGUAUGUCAGCUCCUCAACAGGAAACUGUGUACAGAAACACCACGGAUCUUGCAAUUUUAUGAGGACAAUGCAACUCCUGUGCUUGACAGAUGCCUGCAAAAUUUCAUCACACCUUUGUGAGGACCUCUUUGGGUCUUCAAGAGAGAAGGUUUCAGCCUCUCAGGAGCAAAGAUUUAUAUCCAAGGAGUUCUAUUGGCCCUGCACCAACGAUUAAAGUCUGCAAACUGUUGCAAGCAGCCCUUUCUGUGUAAAACUACACUGAAGAUUGCCUUCAAACUCAAGGACAAAUCAAAAAUUGAGAAGUGUCAUUAGGAUCCAUCCAUAAAAAUCAAAUAUUGGUUUUUCCUGACGUCUACAAUCGAUAAAAAAGAAGUAAGAGCAGCUCGUUCCCGGUUUCUCGAAAGGAGCAGUGAGGAGCUGCUUAUUCUGCCCCCAAACAGAAUUUUGCCACGAUUCAGUCCUCCCUCCUUGUUGCUGCCAGCCUGCUUUCUGCCAAAGUGUUUGGGACAAAGGAAAAACACCCC